Molecule: unclassified non-coding RNA, 585 nt
Filed under: Zea mays
Lineage: Eukaryota; Viridiplantae; Streptophyta; Magnoliopsida; Poales; Poaceae
Description: misc RNA Zm00001eb179110
Source: RNAcentral
CUGAUCUUGUCGCACGUCGCCUUCUACAUGUUGCGCAUCGACAUGGACACCGCCAUGCCAAGAAGCGCCGCAAGAAGGACGCCCGGGCCACACUUGACCCUGAGCGAGUCCGCCGGACCGGUGGUGAUCCUAGCGCUAGACCCAGCAACGCUACAGUGCCUGCGGCACCGCCGCAGCAACCGCCAGCGCCACGUCAAGACCGAUGGCGCGCCCUCGUGCCCGGACACGGCUGACUGCGCGGAAGUCAACCGGCCCUCGCGGUCGCCCCGUCGGCCAAAUCGCAUCAACAUCUACUGCGACGUUGCUGUCGACGACAUCUUUUCCUCCUCCGAUGAUGAGAGGAUCGCCUUAGUCCUCGACGACGGGGUGCAGCAGCGUCUGCCUACUCCGACUCCCGACGACGGCCCAUCGGGAACGGCCUCACCGCCGACGCUCUUGAGCCCAAGCGGCAACAGGGUGGUCCGUCGGCUCGCGCACCACCUUUCCCCAUGGCCACGCGCGCUGGGGUUGGGGUCUGCGACCGCAAGACCGUCCGACGAUGACGUCCGCGAGCGCUCGCGCUCCCUGCCUCGUCGUCUUCCCUGA